RNAcentral lists this long non-coding RNA (1565 nucleotides) under Homo sapiens (human). RNAcentral describes it as "MAP3K9 divergent transcript". The record is from RNAcentral. Lineage: Eukaryota; Metazoa; Chordata; Mammalia; Primates; Hominidae.
GCACUGAGCAGCACCGGUGUUCUUCAUCCGGCUGCACCCCCAACAGAGCUCUUUCUUCCCCAGAUCCCUUUUACAGUUGGAUUCUCCCUCUUGGAUCUGGCUCUGCCUUAGUCCGACCUAGAGGGAUCAGCUUCGCCCACGCCCACUCUCACCCGGAACCUUUCAUCUCUUAUUGAAGCCUUUUAGGCCCAUUGGGAUGUUCAUUAGAACUCUGAAAACUACAGUUCUCCCCUUUAUGAGGACUGCACCACAGCUCGCCCUCUCCUGGGUUCCGGUAAGAAGAGAUUCCAAUACCACUCUUUUUUCAGAAUUCAGAAAGGCAAGAGACCACCUUACUGAGCUUCAAACUGGGGCUGGGAACGCUGCCAUGAAUUGGGCUUGGUCUGUCUGAAGGGAGCCACCUUUUCGACAAUCCUUAGACUUCUUUUGCCUGUUGGAAUUACACCUUGGAUCGUGGCGAAGUCUAUAGAGGUCAGAUUAAGAAGAACCAAAGCAGAAUAAACGUAGAACCCGAUGCUGAGUUCACGAGUGAGGACGACCUCUUCCUAUAUGCUUUGCUAUACCCUGCGUUUUGAACAUUAAGGACGAGAUAGGAGGCCCAUAAUGUUUCUUCUUGCUUUAAUCCUGUCGUGGCAACGUUGACUUCCAGUAAGAAAGAAACAAGGUCUCACUGUGUCACCCAGGCUGGAGAGCAGUGGCACGAUCAUAGCUCACUGAUCACAUGGCAGCCUCAAACUCCUGGACUCAGUGGGUCCUCCUGCCUCAGCAUCCUGAGUAGCUGGGACUACAGAGUGAGCCCAUGGGACAGCCCUCUGAAAUUAUACUGCUUACAACCAUGCUGAGUCUGCAAGGACUUCGUCCAAGCCUUUCCGUCCAGGACCUCAAACAGAUCCAAUCACAAGAAGAGAGAUUUCAGGAAAGAGAAAAUUAUUCCUAUCAUCGGGGUUUUUGAAGAACAUGAAAUGACUGGGAAAAUAAUCAUGUUAAGUGGAAAAAAAAAAGAAAUCUAUCUGUUGUAAUUUUCAAAUAAUUUUUAAAUAAAUUUGAAAAAUUAAGAGAACUAUAUAUAUAAUACAUUCCUAAUCUUGUGAAAAAUAUAUAUGCAUUAAUAUUAUUGAAAGAAAUAUAUCAAAAGGUGAACAGCAAUUAUCACCAAUCUAGAUUAUGAGAUUAGGAGUGAUUUUUUUUCUUUGUCCUAUACUAUUUAAUAUUUUCUACCAUUAAAAUAUUCUGAUUUUCUAAUUAGAAUAGUACGUUAGACAAAGAAGGACAAAUAUCACAUGAACUCUCACUCUCUUAUGGAACAGAUCUUGUGGAAUCUAAAAAAGUUGAACUCAUAGAAAAAGAGGAAAAUGAUGGUUACCAGUUAGAAAAAAGGAAUAAGUUCAAGAGAUCUAUUGUACACCAUGGUCAAUAUAGUUAACAAUAUAUUUUAUACUUUAAAAUUGCUAAGGUAGUAGAUUUUAAGUGUUCUCACCACACAAAAAAAUAAGUAUGUGAAAAGCAUAUGGUAAUUAGCUUGAUUUAACCACGCCACAGUGCAUACAUAUGUCAAAACAUCAUGU